AUGCAGAGCCUGGAGGCCAGGCCAGGCUGUGGGGGCAGCCUCUGUGGAGGCUCUGAACUCGUCCAUGAACUGGUAUCUGUCAUAUCCUUGUUCUCUAGGAUACAAUCUCGAGAUGAGACAAAUCUUGCAAAAAUUUCUCUCUAUCCAUCUUUUGAAGACUUGAAGGUAGAUAAAGUAAUUCAGGUUCAGACUGCCUUUUCUGCAAAUCCUGCCAACCCAGCAAUUUUCUCAGAAGCUUCUGCUCCUGUCUCUCAAGAUGGAAAUCUCUAUCCUAAACUGUAUCCAGAGCUCUCUCAGAACAUGGGUGUGAGUUUAAAUGAAGAAGAAAUACGUGAAAAUAUGGCCAUGGUCCCUGGAGCAUCAGUUCAGGGGCAAUUGUUAGCAAAGCCUUCCAGUAUGAGUUAUAUGGUAGCUCCUAUAACUGGUAAUGAUGUUGGAAUUUGUAGAGCAGAAAUUAAGCAAAGGAUUCAUGAAGUCAUUUUUGUGUAAGCAUCAAGAUGGAAAAAUUAGACUCAGGCUUAAAUUGAUAGAUAAUGGUAUAUUUUGUUCAGCUGAUCCAGGCUAAUUCUCCAUCCUCUUUGGUUGGUCUGAGAGUUGAGGACCAGGUACUCCAGAUCAUUGGUGAAAACUGUGCUGGCUGGAGCUCUGAUAAAGCACACUAUGUGCUCAAACAGGCUUUUGGAGAGAAGAUUAUUAUGACCAUUUGUGACAGGCCCUUUGAACGGACAAUCACCAUGCACAAAGAUAGCAGUGGACAUGUUGGCUUUAUCUUUAAAAAUGGAAAAAUAACAUCCAUAGUCAAAGAUAGUUCUGCAGCCAGAAAUGGCCCUCUCACGGAACACAACAUCUGUGAAAUAAAUGGGCAGAAUGUCAUUGUUUUGAAGGACUCUCAAAUUGCAGACAUACUGUCAACAGCUGGAACUUUAGUUACCAUUAUAAUCAUGCCUGCUUUUAUCUUUGAACAUAUCAUUAAAUGGAUGGCGCCAAGCAUUAUGAAAAGCCUGAUGGACCACACCAUUCCUGAAGUUUAAAAGUCAUGGCACAACAAAAAUGUAGCAGAUCUUUUCCAGUUUCCUUCUUUGGCAACUUCCAUAUUAUGCAUAUGAAGCUUUCCCAGAGCCAGUGAGCACAUGCUGCAUGAGGACCUUCUGUUUCAUAGGAUGGCUGGGAAUCCAACCAUCUCAUCUGAUAACUGUUCAGAUUUCAAGAUAGUUGCAGCCUU
RNA transcript from Otolemur garnettii (small-eared galago), 1222 nucleotides. It is a transcript of the gene named syntenin-1 pseudogene, with no coding region annotated. Lineage: Eukaryota; Metazoa; Chordata; Mammalia; Primates; Galagidae. The transcript has 2 exons. The record is from RefSeq and is a predicted model, not a curated record.